This is a long non-coding RNA of Falco peregrinus (peregrine falcon), 2307 nucleotides long. RefSeq lists it as uncharacterized. The transcript has 4 exons. The record is from RefSeq and is a predicted model, not a curated record. NCBI's taxonomy places the organism in Eukaryota, Metazoa, Chordata, Aves, Falconiformes, Falconidae.
GUGCUUUAACAAGGAAAACCACAGCAACACAUCUUCACUCCCUCAGAACUGAGCUCUUCUUUCCCCGGGCUUUACCUCAGCUUGGCAUCUGACCAGAAACACGAGCUGCUUACACCCAUGCCCUCUGGACCAUCGAGUUUUUUGCUUAGGCAACAUGGAGAUUCCCCCAGGGAAGAAAAGGGAGUGCAGUGUUGGAGAUGUAGGCUGGCCAAAGAGGUCUACAAACUGAUGAGCGUGAAGCCCAAAAUCUGCUCUUCUUCCAUCAACUUGGCCUCCAGCACCAGAAUUCAGCACACAGUGAAACACAUUUCAUACUCCUGAGCACCUGCCGAUGCGUCUCCUGCCUCUCUGCUCGGAGAGGAUGGAAGUGCAGGCAAUGGAGCAGAUUUCUGCACUUGUACCUGACUUUUAGAAGAUUGUGUGUCCUUACACGGGUGAAAAAAGUACAGCGGCCAAGGAAAUGCAGGCGGCGUCAGAAAAUUCAGCAGGGUGGGUGGUCACAACGUGGCUCAGACUUGAAAGCAAAACCUUCUGCAGGAAAAUUCCCACUUCUCAGCAUGACACAUUAUUCUGAAACUCAUGUAUAAGGUAACAGGGUAAACACAAUGAGAAAUCUCUUUUGUAUUCCAUUACAGUCAUUAGAGAAAUAGGCCACAAAAGGUAAUGGCAAUAAAACUGAAUACCUUGAAGUAAGCAUCUAAAUUACAUGCUAAUGUAUGCAAAUUAGCACACCAUGUUCAAUGUCCAUAAAACUACAAAAUAUAGCUAAUUAAUAGUAGGUAAGCUGCUUCGUUUCAUAUUCACAGAGUUACAGGGAAGGUAGUGUAUUUUUAUAAUUGUAGAACAUUGGCCUUGGGGAACACAUCAAACAUUCAGUUUCUCUCCUCUGGCAAAUUCGCCCAGCACACUGGAAGUAAUUGCCUUUCCACUUCCUCACCCAGGGUCUUACUCUGAGAGCAGGCUCCGAAAUUAAAAGUAAAACAAAACAAAAAGGCUCCCAGUUUUGCAAUUACUUUCCUGUGGAAGUAGCUCUUAUUAAUGUUAAUAUAAUCUCUGUUCGGCAAGGUACCUAAACGCGCUUGGUACCCUUGGCAUACCUAAAUGGGCUUAACGACUGAAACCCCACACGGAUAUAGGCUUUGUAAAGCCCCAAAACAGCAAACUGUUCCCAGCAGAAUUCAUGGUUCAGGCUCCUGAUACAAUGUGAAAAUAGAGCACCUGAGAACAGGUUCAGCAAAUGCAGCAAACUGAGCAUGGAGCGAAGCAGCUCACCUGGGAAGAAAGGUGGAGGGAGCAUGUGGGUCAAGCCCUGCUUCUGGCAGAGACUGAGAGCACAAGCGAACACAAACUCCUCUGCCCACAUUCUGGAAUCCUGCAUAGGAAAAUUCUCCGGUUUGAAAGCCACAUCUCUCCUGUGCUUGAAAUGAAUACUCCCAUCUUUUAGACUACCCAGCCAACAAAGCAAAGGAGCCCAGGUCAAGGUGGAGCGAUGCCCUGCUCAAGACAUGAGUGAGCUUCUGUGUGCAACCUGAGAGACAGCUGCAAUGGGAGCUGAAUGGAAAAAUGAGCACUUGAGGAUAAUUUUUCAGUACAAUGAGUAGCAGUGGAUGGGAACCCUGUGAAAGAUCUUCUGAGCUCCCUUCUGCUGUAAAGGUGCUCAGUCUGCAAUCUGAAGGAGCUCUCUGGGUGGCUAUCUGUGCCGUGGGGCUGUGGCCAUGCCACCCUCCUCUGCAGGCUCCCGAUGAGAAGCUCUGUUGAGCCCAUGCAAAGGCAGGUCACCUUAGCCUCUUCACAGAGCUUCGGGCAUCAUCUGAGAUGGUGGACAUCUUCUAGAUGCCACACUUGUGCCCCCGUACCAGAGCAACUCCAGGAUGUCCUGCUUCCCCCGCUGCCCUGCUACCGCAGUGGCUGCUCCUCUCUGCAGAGGUGUAGUGCAGCACAGGAACAAACAGGUGGGAAAAAAAACCCACUUGUGUGUCAUGGGUGAAGGGAGGAUGUGUUUUGUUCAGGGUCUUACUCGAUAGGUGCUGAGAUGACUGAUGGUAAUGACUGCAAUAUGUCUUAGGUACCUGAGACAGAGGUUAUAAUUUGCCAAAUACUUUUCAUGAGCCAGUGGUUCUCCUUCUGGAAAGCUGUUCAGUUUCAAACCAAAACAUUUAUUUUAUAUGCAUGCAUGCGUGUAUGUAUAUGUAUAUAUAUAUAUAUGUAUAUAAAAUCUACACCUGUUUGGCAGAGCAGUUGAACUUUGAUCAACUUCAGGUAAAUGCUUACCUUGCACUUCAUGUAAAAAUUAACCCCAGUGCUAAA